Molecule: ribosomal RNA, 484 nt
Filed under: uncultured bacterium
Lineage: Bacteria
Description: partial 16S ribosomal RNA
Rfam family: Bacterial small subunit ribosomal RNA
Source: RNAcentral
AUUGAACGCUGGCGGAAUGCUUUACACAUGCAAGUCGAGCGGCAGCGCGGCCUUCGGGCUGGCGGCGAGCGGCGAACGGGUGAGUAAUGCAUCGGAACAUGCCCAGUCGUGGGGGAUACCACUUCGAAAGAAGUGCUAAUACCCACACCGUCCUGAGGGGGAAAGCGGGGGAUCCCACGCCCUCGCGCGAUGGGAGUGGCCGCUGCCAGAUUAGCUAGUUGGUGGGGUAAAGGCCUACCAAGGCGACGAUCUGUAGCUGGUCUGAGAGGAUGAUCAGCCACACUGGGACUGAGACACGGCCCAGACUCCUACGGGAGGCAGCAGUGGGGAAUUUUGGACAAUGGGGGCAACCCUGAUCCAGCCAUUCCGCGUGAGUGAAGAAGGCCUUCGGGGUGGAAAGCGCUUUCGGCAGGAACGAAACGGUGGGCUCUAACAUAGUCCGCUAAUGACGGUACCUUAAGAAGAAGCACCGGCUAACUACUUG